ACUCCUACGGGGAGGUAGCAGUGGGGAAUAUUGCACAAUGGGGGGAAACCCUGAUGCAGCCAUGCCGCGUGUGUGAAGAAGGCCUUCGGGUUGUAAAGCACUUUCAGUAGGGAGGAAGGUAGUGUAGUUAACACCUGCAUUAUUUGUACGUUACCUACAGAAGAAGCACCGGCUAACUCCGUGCCAGCAGCCGCGGUAAUACGGGAGGGUGCGAGCGUUAAUCGGAAUUACUGGGCGUAAAGCGCAUGCAGGCGGCCUGUUAAGUCAGAUGUGAAACGCCCGGGGUCUUAACCUCGGAAUUGCAUUUGAAACUGGCAGGCUAGAGUCUGUAGAGGGGUUAGAAUUUCAGGUGUAGCGGUGAAAUGCGUAGAGAUCUGAAGGAA
RNAcentral lists this ribosomal RNA (383 nucleotides) under uncultured bacterium. RNAcentral describes it as "bacterial SSU rRNA". It matches the Rfam family "Bacterial small subunit ribosomal RNA", at positions 335 to 706 of the family's 1533-position model. The record is from RNAcentral.